Molecule: ribosomal RNA, 368 nt
Filed under: uncultured phototrophic eukaryote
Lineage: Eukaryota
Description: SSU rRNA
Rfam family: Bacterial small subunit ribosomal RNA
Source: RNAcentral
UACGGGGGAUGCAAGCGUUAUCCGGAAUCAUUGGGCGUAAAGCGCCUGUAGGUUGUUUAAUAAGUCUGUUGUUAAAGACUAGGGCUCAACCCUAGGAAAGCAAUGGAAACUACUAGACUAGAGUAUGGCAGGGGUAGAGGGAAUUUCUAGUGUAGCGGUGAAAUGCGUAGAUAUUAGAAAGAACACCGGUGGCGAAAGCGCUCUACUGGACCAUUACUGACACUCAGAGGCGAAAGCUAGGGUAGCAAAAGGGAUUAGAUACCCCUGUAGUCCUAGCCGUAAACGAUGGAUACUAGAUGUUGUAUGUUUUUACAGUGUCUUAGCUAACGCGUUAAGUAUCCCGCCUGGGGAGUACGCUCGCAAGGGUG